Molecule: ribosomal RNA, 419 nt
Filed under: bacterium
Lineage: Bacteria
Description: partial 16S ribosomal RNA
Rfam family: Bacterial small subunit ribosomal RNA
Source: RNAcentral
UGGGGGAUAUUGCACAAUGGGCGAAAGCCUGAUGCAGCGACGCCGCGUGGGGGAUGAAGGCCUUCGGGUUGUAAACUUCUUUUGCUCUGAACAAGGCGCACCAUGGGGUGUGUUGAGUGUAGGGGUUGAUUAGCGCCGGCUAACUACGUGCCAGCAGCCGCGGUAAUACGUAGGGCGCGAGCGUUGUCCGGAAUUAUUGGGCGUAAAGGGCUUGUAGGUGGCUGGUUGCGUCUGUCGUGAAAGCUCAUGGCUUAACUGUGGGUUUGCGGUGGGUACGGGCUGGCUUGAGUGCAGUAGGGGAGGCUGGAAUUCCUGGUGUAGCGGUGGAAUGCGCAGAUAUCAGGAGGAAUACCGGUGGCGAAGGCUGGUCUCUGGGCUGUUACUGACACUGAGGAGCGAAAGCAUGGGGAGCGAACAGG